RNAcentral lists this ribosomal RNA (465 nucleotides) under uncultured bacterium. RNAcentral's name for it is "partial 16S ribosomal RNA". It matches the Rfam family "Bacterial small subunit ribosomal RNA", at positions 338 to 795 of the family's 1533-position model. The record is from RNAcentral.
CCUACGGGGUGCAGCAGUGGGGAAUAUUGCGCAAUGGGCGAAAGCCUGACGCAGCGACGCCGCGUGAGGGAUGAAGGUCUUCAGAUCGUAAACCUCUGUCAGCAGGGAAGAACGGUCACUGUGCUAAUCAGCAGUGAAUUGACGGUACCUGCAAAGGAAGCACCGGCUAACUCCGUGCCAGCAGCCGCGGUAAUACGGAGGGUGCGAGCGUUAAUCGGAAUUACUGGGCGUAAAGCGCUCGUAGGCGGUAUGUCAAGUCAAGGGUGAAAUCCCCGCGCUCAACGUGGGAACUGCCUUUGAAACUGGCAAACUGGAGUGUGUGAGAGGAUAGUGGAAUUCCAGGUGUAGGAGUGAAAGCCGUAGAUAUCUGGAGGAACAUCAGUGGCGAAGGCGACUAUCUGGCACAUAACUGACGCUGAGGAGCGAAAGCGUGGGUAGCAAACAGGAUUAGAUACCCCUGUAGUC